RNAcentral lists this long non-coding RNA (1074 nucleotides) under Homo sapiens (human). RNAcentral's name for it is "non-protein coding lnc-ID3-5:1". The record is from RNAcentral. Lineage: Eukaryota; Metazoa; Chordata; Mammalia; Primates; Hominidae.
GGAAAAAAGUGCAAGGUAAAAAAGGACACACACACACACACACACGUCAUGCACGCAAAACUAACAAGAACAAACGAAAGGAAAACAGCAAGCAGGAGUUGACCAGAUAAAUAGGUAAGAAAGGGGUAGAGGAAGAAUAUGUUGGAAGAUCCAGAGGAAGGAGAUCUUGUAGAACACCCAGAGACAGGAAAGAAGGUCUGGCAAGGGCUGGAGAGGUGGGGUCCCUAACACACAGCCACGGAGAUCAUGUUCUGGAGGCCAGAAGUCCAAGAUCAAGGUGCCAGCAGAUUCAGUUUCUGGUGAGAGGUUUCACUCUGUUAGCCAGGAUGGUCUCGAUCUCCUGACCUCGUAAUCUGCCUGCCUCGGCCUCUCAAAGUGCUGGGAUUACAGGCGUGAGCCACCGCGCCUGGCUGAUAAAAUAUUAUUAAUAAUAAUAUCUACAUGGGCAUUGGAGCUGGCUGUCACUACCCGCUUAUUCUCCCAGGAAGGCAUAUUCUUUGAUCACGAAUAUCUCUGCAGGCCUCUGUAAUUAACUUUCUCAGCCCUGAUUGACCCUAGGGGAUUGGCAAGACAGUGUCACUAUUUUCCUGCUUUUACAGAAGAGAAAAAUAGAGGUUUAGGAAAAUUAAGGGGCAUGCCCACGGGUGGCUGAGCUGGCCUUCUGUGUCCCAGCCCUGUCAGUUACCACUCCAUACCUCCCAAAGCCUAGAUUUUAAGCCACGCCACUGUACCCAGGGCCUAGUGCAGUGACUGGUGAGAAGGAGAAUGGUUAGUAAUGGUUGUUGAAUGAAUACAUGAGUGAAUGAAUGCCUUCUGGAAAGUCUUUUCAGGAGAGGGCCUUAGCUGCAGGGGCCAGACCCCAGGAUACCCUGUUCCCCCUUGAGAGACCACCCAAAGAUGCUUUCUCUGGUCAGGGCUCUACCUUAGCUGGGAGCCCAUGAGGAGAGGAGAAAAAGGGUUCCAGGCAAGGGGAAAAAGAGUCUCAUACAGCAGCAUCUCCUGAGUACAGCACUUAACAGUUUGCAAAGCCCUUGCAUUCACUGCCUCUCCCUGGGAUUUCAGAGGAGCUCUUCA